This is a long non-coding RNA of Hyla sarda, 530 nucleotides long. RefSeq lists it as uncharacterized. The transcript has 3 exons. Lineage: Eukaryota; Metazoa; Chordata; Amphibia; Anura; Hylidae. The record is from RefSeq and is a predicted model, not a curated record.
UCAAGCAGAAAUGCCAUAGAGUGCACCUAGUCACGUGACCCGCAGGUCCUGGUACGCUACGCACAGGGUUGUAAAGAUGAAGAGCAGCGAGGAAAUGGAAAGCAUUUAUCUAUUACCGCUAAAUUCAUGAUAAUCAAUGGAUUAUGCAACGGCUCGAUAUGCAUCAGUGAGUCAAGACUCAGGGGGCCAAGAAGGUCAACCACCUCAAAGGGCAGAGAGAGAUGGAAGCUCAUGCCAGGAUAGGGAUAAGAGGGCUUGAAUCUGACAAAACCAGAGAUAAGUUCUGGCGAGAUUGACAUAUCUAUUUAAUGUGAUGGUGAGAACGUUAGGUAUACUUGAAAAAGGAGGCGUGGUCUCCGAAACGUCGUAAGGUGUCAACGCAAGCUCCAGUCGGUUCCCCUUCGUGAGAGGAAGGUCAUCUUGCUAACAGGAAGCCCGGACAUGGGGUGAAAAUUUCCUACAGCUUGAAGAGUGUCUUUUGAUAAUUUUGUAUGAUCAACUUUUUGCUAUAUUUUGCUAAAGACAUUGUG